RNAcentral lists this ribosomal RNA (497 nucleotides) under uncultured bacterium. RNAcentral describes it as "partial 16S ribosomal RNA". It matches the Rfam family "Bacterial small subunit ribosomal RNA", at positions 28 to 507 of the family's 1533-position model. The record is from RNAcentral.
GAUGAACGCUGGCGGCGUGCCUAAUACAUGCAAGUCGAGCGAACAGAUGAGGAGCUUGCUCCUCUGACGUUAGCGGCGGACGGGUGAGUAACACGUGGAUAACCUACCUAUAAGACUGGGAUAACUUCGGGAAACCGGAGCUAAUACCGGAUAAUAUAUUGAACCGUAUGGUUCAAUAGUGAAAGACGGUUUUGCUGUCACUUAUAGAUGGAUCCGCGCCGCAUUAGCUAGUUGGUAAGGUAACGGCUUACCACGGCGACGAUGCGUAGCCGAACUGAGAGGGUGGUCGGCCACACUAGAACUGGGACACGGUCAAGACGACUGAGGGAGGCAGCAGUAGGGAAUCUUCCGCAAUAGGCGAAAGCAUGACGGAGCAACGCCGCGUGAGUGAUGAAGGUCUUCGGAUCGUAAAACUCUGUUAUUAGGGAAGAACAAAUGUGUAAGUAACUAUGCACGUCUUGACGGUACCUAGUCAGAAAGCCACGGCUAACUACGUG